RNAcentral lists this ribosomal RNA (817 nucleotides) under Bacillus paralicheniformis. Its description in RNAcentral is "bacterial SSU rRNA". It matches the Rfam family "Bacterial small subunit ribosomal RNA", at positions 63 to 864 of the family's 1533-position model. The record is from RNAcentral. Lineage: Bacteria; Bacillati; Bacillota; Bacilli; Caryophanales; Bacillaceae.
CGAGCGGACAGAUGGAGCUUGCUCCUGAUGUUAGCGGCGGGCGGGUGAGUAACACGUGGGUAACCUGCCUGUAAGACUGGGAUAACUCCGGGAAACCGGGGUAAUACCGGAUUCUUGAUUGAACCGCAUGGUUCAAUUAUAAAAGGUGGCUUUUAGCUACCACUUACAGAUGGACCCGCGGCGCAUUAGCUAGUUGGUGAGGUAACGGCUCACCAAGGCAACGAUGCGUAGCCGACCUGAGAGGGUGAUCGGCCACCUGGGACUGAGACACGGCCCAGACUCCUACGGGAGGCAGCAGUAGGGAAUCUUCCGCAAUGGACGAAAGUCUGACGGAGCAACGCCGCGUGAGUGAUGAAGGUUUUCGGAUCGUAAAACUCUGUUGUUAGGGAAGAACAAGUACCGUUCGAAUAGGGCGGUACCUUGACGGUACCUAACCAGAAAGCCACGGCUAACUACGUGCCAGCAGCCGCGGUAAUACGUAGGUGGCAAGCGUUGUCCGGAAUUAUUGGGCGUAAAGCGCGCGCAGGCGGUUUCUUAAGUCUGAUGUGAAAGCCCCCGGCUCAACCGGGGAGGGUCAUUGGAAACUGGGGAACUUGAGUGCAGAAGAGGAGAGUGGAAUUCCACGUGUAGCGGUGAAAUGCGUAGAGAUGUGGAGGAACACCAGUGGCGAAGGCGACUCUCUGGUCUGUAACUGACGCUGAGGCGCGAAAGCGUGGGGAGCGAACAGGAUUAGAUACCCUGGUAGUCCACGCCGUAAACGAUGAGUGGUAAGUGUUAGAGGGUUUCCGCCCUUUAGUGCUGCAGCAAACGCAUUAAG